GCAUUUUAGCAAUGGCUGCAUCCAUGUCUUUCUGACUGUACUUGAGCACAUCAAUGAUGUCCUCUGAGCUUGCAGGCUGCCUGAAAGCUGGGACGAGGCUCUCGAGGAUUUGGGGAGUCUGUGGGACAACAAAAACAUGGAGGUGCACGCAGACAGUCAUACCGUGAAAGGAGAGACGUGGGGUGAGGGGCUUGUAGUGGAAAGCCAGGGGCUCCAAUCUUCUUCGGGCUUUCCCUCAGCAAGGGGUCGAACUUAAGGUACAAGGACUGUUUGCGCAGUGCAGACUCCUUGAACUUCUUGCAUACAAAAUCCAUAUUUAGACAAAAA
Molecule: long non-coding RNA, 327 nt
Organism: Syngnathus acus (greater pipefish)
Lineage: Eukaryota; Metazoa; Chordata; Actinopteri; Syngnathiformes; Syngnathidae
Exons: 2
Source: RefSeq, a predicted model, not a curated record